This 241-nucleotide ribosomal RNA is filed under the name uncultured bacterium. RNAcentral's name for it is "partial 16S ribosomal RNA". It matches the Rfam family "Bacterial small subunit ribosomal RNA", at positions 15 to 236 of the family's 1533-position model. The record is from RNAcentral.
GAUCAUGGCUCAGGAUGAACGCUGGCGGCGUGCCUAACACAUGCAAGUCGAACGGAGCUGCUUUGAUGAAGUUUUCGGAUGGAUUUAAAACAGCUUAGUGGCGGACGGGUGAGUAACGCGUGGGUAACCUGCCUCACACUGGGGGAGUAACAGUUAGAAAUAGCUGCUAAUACCGCAUAAGCGCACGGUUCCGCAUGGAACAAGUGUGAAAACUACCGUCGGUGUGAGAUGGACCCGCCGU